This 1603-nucleotide long non-coding RNA is filed under the name Nicotiana benthamiana. Its description in RNAcentral is "long non-coding RNA (NBEN_LNC013065)". Lineage: Eukaryota; Viridiplantae; Streptophyta; Magnoliopsida; Solanales; Solanaceae. The record is from RNAcentral.
UAAAUUUUUUUGCAGAAAAUAUGAUUUUAUGGGUUUAUUAAUGUAUGGUGGUCAAAUUCAAAAAGAUUACGACUUCACAAUAACUAUCUUGUGGGUUCGUAGAAUUGGUUUUAUGUCCAUUCAUAUAACCGUCGAAUCAAAUCCAAUGAAUAUGCCUCAUGGCCAUGAGAACAAUAUUAUCUACGUAACAAGUCCAAGAAUUUAUCUGAGAAUAGUAUGUGAUUCUCAAUAAAAGUGGUGAGAACAAUAUUAUUAUCUUCGUAACAAGUUACUGUUUACUAAGAGAAUCAUUUGUGAUUCUCAAUUAAAGCGAUAAGAAUAAUAUUAUCUUCGUAAGUCUUGUUGAGAUGAAAGAUUACAUGGCUUCCAAACUCAAGUAUAAAUAAUUAUAUACACUGUAUAUAUAUUGUAUAUUUAUUGUAUUUUCUAGUAUACAUUGUAUAUGUGGGAGUUGGGCUGUGAUGAUUUGUUGAUUGGGUUUUAAAUAUCUGAGCCCGUUUUAUCUUUUGUUCUUGGGCCGUCUGACCCGACCCAAGAGUGACUGUAUAUAAGUCACAUGUACAGAUAUUUUCAUUUAGGGUAUUCAUUUUAUCUUCUGGCUUUCUCCGUUUGACCCGACCCAAGAAUGAUUGUAUAUAUGAACACAUAUGCUUUGUUGUUCAACAUCUGAGUCAAUUCCUAAAAUGCCCCAGACUUCCACAUAUGAUUGCUGCCCUGCAUGUUUUGAGAUACCUUAAAGGCACUCCUUCUAUGGGUCUAUUUUAUUCUGCAGUGCUGAUUUCUCUGUUGUUGGUUAUUCUGAUAGUGACUGGGUUGCAUGCCCUGAUACUAGGAGAUCUGUUACUAGAUUUUGUGUGCUUUUGGGUGGUUGCCUAGUUAGUUGGAAAUCUAAGAAGCAACCUGUUGUUUCUUUGUCUUCUGCUGAAGCAGAAUAUAGAGCCCUCAGCAAAGUUGUUGCUGAAUUAUCUUGGCUUUCUCGUUUAUUGGUUGAUCUUGGGGUAUCUGUUUCUCUUCCUUUUUCUGUGUAUUAUGACAGCCAGGCUGUUGUCCAUAUAGCUACCAAUCCUGCUUUUCAUGAGCGUACCAAACACAUCGAGGUGGACUGCCAUUUUGUUCGGGACCUGCUACAGAAUGAUUUUCUCAAGCUGCUUCAUGUUCCUACUUCUCGUCAAUUGGCUGACCUGCUCACUAAGCCAUUGCCUGGCACUGUGCUUCAUCCGCUGUUGUCCAAGUUGCAGGUGGUUUUCCCCUCCAACUUGAGGGGGGGUGUUGAGAUGAAAGACUACAUGGCUUCCAAAACGAAGCAUAAAUGAUUGUAUACACUGUAUAUACAUUGUAUAUUUAUUGUAUUUUCUGGUAUACAUUGUAUAUGUGGGAGUUGGGAUGUGAUGAUUUGUUGAUUGGGUUGUAAAUAAUCUGAGCCCGUUUCAUUUUGUUCUUGGGCCGUUUGACCCGACCCAAGAAUGAUUGUAUAUAUGUAACAUAUACAGAUAUUUUAGGUAAGGGGUAUUCAUUUGUCUUCUGGCUUUCUCCAGAAGCUUCUGUUUCUCUCUCUGUCUCUCUCACUGUUCAUCUUCAUCUUCUCUGAUUUUCAUCUUCAAAU